GCCUUCUAACAAAAUAACUGACCUUCGAACAGAGGUACUCCAAAAAUAAACCCUGGUUUUCUGGAAAUCUUAAAUUAGUAUACUAUGGAGCGCAUUAAUCCUCAAUUUUUAUUGCAAACUCAUAGACAAGUAAAUUUUGGCUCAAAAUGGUCUAGAUAUAUUUCUCUUUCACCAAAAGUUUCAUUUCUGCAAAUUUGUUGGUUGGUUUAAGUAAACAAGGACA
Molecule: long non-coding RNA, 223 nt
Filed under: Mytilus galloprovincialis (Mediterranean mussel)
Lineage: Eukaryota; Metazoa; Mollusca; Bivalvia; Mytilida; Mytilidae
Source: RNAcentral